RNAcentral lists this ribosomal RNA (434 nucleotides) under uncultured bacterium. RNAcentral describes it as "partial 16S ribosomal RNA". It matches the Rfam family "Bacterial small subunit ribosomal RNA", at positions 29 to 507 of the family's 1533-position model. The record is from RNAcentral.
AGCGAACGCUGGCGGCAGGCCUAACACAUGCAAGUCGAACGAACCUUUCGGGGUUAGUGGCGGACGGGUGAGUAACACGUGGGAACGUGCCUUUAGGUUCGGAAUAACUCAGGGAAACUUGUGCUAAUACCGAAUGUGCCCUUCGGGGGAAAGAUUAAUCGCCUUUAGAGCGGCCCGCGUCUGAUUCGCUAGUUGGUUGAGGUAAUGGCUCACCAAGGCGACGAUCAGUAGCUGGUCUGAGAGGAUGAUCAGCCACAUUGGGACUGAGACACGGCCCAAACUCCUACGGGAGGCAGCAGUGGGGAAUCUUGCGCAAUGGGCGAAAGCCUGACGCAGCCAUGCCGCGUGAAUGAUGAAGGUCUUAGGAUUGUAAAAUUCUUUCACCGGGGACGAUAAUGACGGUAACCGGAGAAGAAGCCCCGGCUAACUUCGUG